Stegostoma tigrinum is the source of this 1320-nucleotide RNA transcript. It is a transcript of the gene named matrix-remodeling-associated protein 7-like, with no coding region annotated. The record is from RefSeq and is a predicted model, not a curated record. The transcript is spliced from 6 exons. Lineage: Eukaryota; Metazoa; Chordata; Chondrichthyes; Orectolobiformes; Stegostomatidae.
GAAAUGACGAUCUGUUUUAAAAUCCGAUUCAUCUUUACAUGCCAUCUGUGAUUUAGAACAGUAGCGUUAUCCGUCGACAGAGCUACUUAAGCGCAGUGGCUAGACGAAAUUGAUUCAGUUCAGGGCUCUGGUGUUUGAAGGGGGAUAGAGAAAAUGGACGUGGCGCUGGAUGUUUAUGUCGCUGUUCCGCUCCUCUUCACUGUGCUGGCUGUUGUCAUCGCCUCGUUAUAUCUGAAAUUCAGACCUUCCGAUGCCAGUGCUGAAGAACAGGACGCGAGUUCUAAAGUUGACGGGAGUAAAGCCGAUGAGGAAACAAGGAGGAAAGAUACGGAGGAGGCGACGAAGCCUGAAGAUGUGAGCCAAGAGCAGGCGGAGAAGAGAGAUGAAAAGCCAGAGAAAACCAAAGACAAACUGCCGGUGGAAGAGAUCGGAGCCGAAGAGGGAAAUCUUCAGAACCAAGAAUCAACUAAAAACUCUGAGAAGGAGCCCGCGGCUGCUGAGAAGAGCCCCCAGACUAACGACGCGAAACAAGAGCCCAGUAACCCUGAAGAGAAGCUCAAAAAGGAAGAAGAUGAAGCAGAAGUUGAGAGUACGAAAAAAUCCCCCUCUGAAAGCACUGAUGAUCUCGUUGAUGAGUACUGUCCGGGCAAGAUUCGAGGUGGCAGCAGCUAUGAAAAAAUGCUGACAAGAGAAGAAUUGGAGGAAGAACAAAGGGUUGAAUUAACCCCUGACCUCACCUCGGUGUAGGUUCUAAGCCUGAUGACACUAUUUCUGUAGCAAUAUAUUGGAUGCAAAGAAUCUCCCGAGCGGAUGAGUAGAACCAAUCGGGAGAGCCUUUCAUGCAUGCGAAGGAAUUAAGUGGCUGUGGGCUUGAAUUUUCAGAUGUCAAACCCAAAAAACCGACAAGUUUAUCCUCAGUAGGGAGGUGCUGUUGAAGAUUCUGUAAUAGAUGUUGCAGUAGAGUCUAAUACAAUAGCAUACAUUUAAUUUAGUCACUUAAUUCACUACUUUCAGUUAAGAGCUACAUAUUGCAGACUAUCAAACACAAUGUUAAAGUUAGUGCACAGCAAACUGUAUAUCUUGGUGGAACUAAUGCAGGACAACCUUUUUUGUUUGUUGGUUUCUAUGAACAAUGUAAAAUUGUUUGGUUUGUUUAAGCCUUAAUGCAGAAUUUGUUAACAGGGUUGUAGUGAUUAACUUUUUUUCCUGGGGAUGUUUUAGUUCAAGAUGGAUUUGUAAUUUGAAAUGGCAACAUUUGCUUUAUCUAUUACAUAUGUCUCUACCUUUUUGACAAUGUUCAAUAAAGUCUUGAUUACUAGA